Molecule: ribosomal RNA, 463 nt
Filed under: uncultured bacterium
Lineage: Bacteria
Description: partial 16S ribosomal RNA
Rfam family: Bacterial small subunit ribosomal RNA
Source: RNAcentral
CUACGGGCGGCAGCAGUGAGGAAUUUUGCGCAAUGGGGGAAACCCUGACGCAGCAACGCCGCGUGAGCGAAGAAGGCCUUCGGGUCGUAAAGCUCUGUCAAGUGGGAAAAAAAUUCUUUGAUGAACAGUCAAAGGACUUGAUGGUACCACUGGAGGAAGCACCGGCUAACUCCGUGCCAGCAGCCGCGGUAAUACGGGGGUGCAAGCGUUGUUCGGAAUUACUGGGCGUAAAGAGCGUGUAGGCGGUUUGACAAGUCAGAUGUGAAAGCCCCGGGCUCAACCCGGGAAGUGCAUUUGAAACUGUUUCACUAGAGUAUGGGAGAGGAGAUUGGAAUUCCUGGUGUAGAGGUGAAAUUCGUAGAUAUCAGGAGGAACACCCGUGGCGAAGGCGAUUCUCUGGACCAAUACUGACGCUGAGACGCGAAAGCGUGGGGAGCAAACAGGAUUAGAUACCCCAGUAGUC